CAUUCGCCAUAUGAAACAGAGGUCUUAACGCCAUCAAAAGACUUCAGGUGUUUAAAUAGAGCUUGUAUGAUUGAAGAUCCUGAAAGAGAUUUGAAUCCUGAUGGAUCAGUUUCGGAUCCUUGGAAUCUAUGUAGUGUGGAACGAGUUGAAUCACUCAAGGCUCUUAUUAGAAUACUUCCUAUGUGGUCUACUGGUUUUAUGAUGUUUGUAGACAUGAAUGUAUUUGCAUUUGCUGUACUUCAAACAAAAACCAUGGAUAGACAUAUCUUCCCGCACUUUGAAGUACCAGCAGCAUCAUUCAGUGUGUUCUUGAUUAUUGCUUUAACAAUCUGGAUUACUUUCUACGAUCGUGUUUUGGUCCCUUUGCUAUCAAAAUAUACUGGAAGGCCAAGAGGGCUAAGUCCUGUUACCCGAAUGGGAAUUGGGUUAACAGUCUCUUGUAUGUCUAUGGCAUUGUCAGCAAUAACAGAAAGCAUAAGACGAAAAAGGGCAAUAGCGGAAGGGCAUGAAGACGAUCCAAAUGCUUUAGUAAACAUGUCUGCUAUGUGGUUCGUGCCACAGUAUGCACUACUCGGAAUAGCUGAGGCUACCCAUGGAGUUGGACAGAUUGAGUUUUUCUACACUCUAUUACCGAAAAGCAUGGCAAGCAUCGCGUCAGCUAUGUACACCGUUGGGACUGCUGUGUCGAGUUUGACUGGAAGUAUUCUGGUGAGUAGUGAAGAUUGGCUUACAUCAAGGGGAGGUAAAACGAGCUGGCUUUCGAGCAACAUUAAUAAGGGUCACCUGGAUUACCAUUUCUGGGUGCUUGCUUCUAUGAGUUUUCUCAACCUGCUAUAUUUUCUAGUUGUCUGCCGGUUUUAUGAUACUGGGAAGGAUGAGAUGAGUAGAUCACCUCAUGUGGCUGAUGAGAAAGAAUGCGAUUAUAGACUCUUACAUGAAUCUUGAUGAUAUAUUGUAUUGCAUCCUUGAAUGAUCCAACAACUACUAAUUGAGUUGGACAAUAAAGUUUUUCAUAUGUUAAGACCUCG
Molecule: unclassified non-coding RNA, 1028 nt
Filed under: Hevea brasiliensis (rubber tree)
Lineage: Eukaryota; Viridiplantae; Streptophyta; Magnoliopsida; Malpighiales; Euphorbiaceae
Source: RNAcentral